UACGGAGGAUCCAAGCGUUAUCCGGAUUUAUUGGGUUUAAAGGGUGCGUAGGUGGAAGAGUAAGUCAGAGGUGAAAGCUAGCAGCUUAACUGUUAAAUUGCCUUUGAUACUGCUUUUCUUGAGUAUAGUUGGCGUUGGCGGAAUGUGACAUGUAGCGGUGAAAUGCGUAGAUAUGUCACAGAACACCGAUCGCGAAGGCAGCUAACGAAACUAUCACUGACACUGAUGCACGAAAGCGUGGGGAGCAAACAGG
RNAcentral lists this ribosomal RNA (253 nucleotides) under uncultured bacterium. RNAcentral describes it as "partial 16S ribosomal RNA". It matches the Rfam family "Bacterial small subunit ribosomal RNA", at positions 524 to 776 of the family's 1533-position model. The record is from RNAcentral.